This 253-nucleotide ribosomal RNA is filed under the name uncultured bacterium. RNAcentral's name for it is "partial 16S ribosomal RNA". It matches the Rfam family "Bacterial small subunit ribosomal RNA", at positions 524 to 776 of the family's 1533-position model. The record is from RNAcentral.
UACGAAGGGGGCGAGCGUUGUUCGGAAUUACUGGGCGUAAAGGGCGCGCAGGCGGCCUUAGAAGUCAGAUGUGAAAGCCCCGGGCUCAACCUGGGAAUGGCAUUUGAUACUCUGAGGCUGGAGUACGGGAGAGGUGAGUGGAAUUUCCGGUGUAGCGGUGAAAUGCGUAGAUAUCGGAAGGAACACCUGUGGCGAAAGCGGCUCACUGGACCAUAACUGACGCUGAGGCGCGAAAGCUAGGGGAGCAAACAGG